Molecule: ribosomal RNA, 253 nt
Filed under: uncultured bacterium
Lineage: Bacteria
Description: partial 16S ribosomal RNA
Rfam family: Bacterial small subunit ribosomal RNA
Source: RNAcentral
UACGUAGGGGGCAAGCGUUAUCCGGAUUUAUUGGGCGUAAAGGGAACGCAGGCGGUCUUUUAAGUCUGAUGUGAAAGCCUUCGGCUUAACCGGAGUAGUGCAUUGGAAACUGGGAGACUUGAGUGCAGAUGAGGAGAGUGGAACUCCAUGUGUAGCGGUGAAAUGCGUAGAUAUAUGGAAGAACACCAGUGGCGAAAGCGGCUCUCUGGUCUGUAACUGACGCUGAGGUUCGAAAGCGUGGGUAGCAAACAGG